CGUGAGGGAUGACGGCCUUCGGGUUGUAAACCUCUUUCAGUAGGGACGAAGCGCAAGUGACGGUACCUAUAGAAGAAGCACCGGCCAACUACGUGCCAGCAGCCGCGGUAAUACGUAGGGUGCGAGCGUUGUCCGGAAUUACUGGGCGUAAAGAGCUCGUAGGUGGUUUGUCGCGUUGUUCGUGAAGACUCACAGCUCAACUGUGGGCGUGCGGGCGAUACGGGCAGACUGGAGUACUGCAGGGGAGACUGGAAUUCCUGGUGUAGCGGUGGAAUGCGCAGAUAUCAGGAGGAACACCGGUGGCGAAGGCGGGUCUCUGGGCAGUAACUGACGCUGAGGAGCGAAAGCGUGGGGAGCGAACAGGAUUAGAUACCCUGGUAGUCCACGCCGUAAACGGUGGGUACUAGGUGUGGGUUUCCUUCCUUGGGAUCCGUGCCGUAGCUAACGCAUUAAGUACCCCGCCUGGGGAGUACGGCCGCAAGGCUAAAACUCAAAGGAAUUGACG
RNAcentral lists this ribosomal RNA (505 nucleotides) under uncultured Actinomycetes bacterium. RNAcentral describes it as "SSU rRNA". It matches the Rfam family "Bacterial small subunit ribosomal RNA", at positions 400 to 915 of the family's 1533-position model. The record is from RNAcentral. Lineage: Bacteria; Bacillati; Actinomycetota; Actinomycetes.